This 437-nucleotide long non-coding RNA is filed under the name Brassica rapa (field mustard). RNAcentral describes it as "long non-coding RNA (BRAP_LNC007188)". The record is from RNAcentral. Lineage: Eukaryota; Viridiplantae; Streptophyta; Magnoliopsida; Brassicales; Brassicaceae.
CUCAAAAAAAAAAAAAAACCUGGCUUUAUAUGGACCAUUGAAAUAUGCACACAUAGUUCUAAAAAUUUUAUAUUUGAGAUAACAUGAUUUUUAUGUUAAAAAUAGAGAGGUAACAUAAUUUCUAAAUAUUAUUGAAUAUUUCGCUAUAUGAAAUGCAAAGUACAAACAAUGAUGAUGUAUUCUUACAAGUAUAUAUUUUCUAAACCUUUUAAUUUUGGGAGUUUACCGCAUUUCUUAAUUAUACCAUAUUUGACAUGGAUAUUUAAUCAUUCAUCAGCAUGGGGUAAUGUUGAUAGAAUGGUCGCAUAUAUUGGUUUCAACGAGAAGGAAAGGUCUAUAUACACCAACAAUCUAUUCUAUUAAAACAGCAGUGUGACCCAUUGAUAAAAAGUUAUGUCCAACUUAAAUUUUAAUAAUACAUACCUUUUUAAUAUAAC